UACGGAGGUGGCAAGCGUUGUUCGGAAUUACUGGGCGUAAAGGGCGCGUAGGCGGCAUGGCAAGUCAGAUGUGAAAGCCCCGGGCUUAACUCGGGAACUGCAUCUGAAACUGCUUUGCUUGAGUCCUGGAGGGGGUAGUGGAAUUCCCAGUGUAGCGGUGAAAUGCGUAGAUAUUGGGAGGAACACCGGCGGCGAAGGCGGCUACCUGGACAGUGACUGACGCUGAGGCGCGAAAGCUAGGGGAGCAAACGGG
This 253-nucleotide ribosomal RNA is filed under the name uncultured bacterium. RNAcentral's name for it is "partial 16S ribosomal RNA". It matches the Rfam family "Bacterial small subunit ribosomal RNA", at positions 524 to 776 of the family's 1533-position model. The record is from RNAcentral.